Molecule: ribosomal RNA, 305 nt
Filed under: uncultured bacterium
Lineage: Bacteria
Description: bacterial SSU rRNA
Rfam family: Bacterial small subunit ribosomal RNA
Source: RNAcentral
CCUACGGGAGGCAGCAGUAGGGAAUUUUCGUCAAUGGGCGCAAGCCUGAACGAGCAAUGCCGCGUGAACGAGGAAGGUCUUCGGAUCGUAAAGUUCUGUUGAAGGGGAAAAAGAGCGGAGAGAGGAAAUGGUCUCCGAUUGAUAUUACCCUUCGAGGAAGUCACGGCUAACUACGUGCCAGCAGCCGCGGUAAUACGGAGGAUGCGAGCGUUAUCCGGAUUUAUUGGGUUUAAAGGGUGCGUAGGCGGUCCGUUAAGUCAGCGGUAAAAUUGCGGGGCUCAACCCCGUCGAGCCGUUGAAACUGG